GCAGGGCUGAUGUGAAGCCAAGACUGUCGGCUCAGCCCUAGGACUCCACCCCAUCCAAGCUGAGCACAGAGGUUUUUGCAAUUUUGCAAGUCUGAUCCUAUAAGACUGUCUCCAAUACAGAAGGUAUCCUGGUGUAGACACAGCUGAUAUUCACAUCCAAUUGGCCUGGAGGUCAAUUCCUCCCAGUAAUACCAACAACAAUCAAGACUUAACUACAUCAAGGCUAUACACACAGUCCACAAAGGAAAGCACCAAGUGUGUCUACCUCAGGUGACUGGGGAGGCUGAGCCAUUGGGCCCUAUAGGACACCUACUCCACAAGGCCACUCCACCAACUCCAGGAGACAUAGCAUCUCUACCUAAUACUUAGAAACAAACACAGGGAAGCAGCCAAAAUGUGGAUACAAAGAGUCAUGUCACAAAUGAAAGAAAUGGAACCAAGCAAACUACUGGGUACAGAGUUCAAAGCCAUAGUUAUAAGGUUACUCAAGGAUCUUCAUGAGAGUUUCAAGAGACUUAGUGAGAGUUUCAAGAAUCGUAGUGAGAAUGUCAAAGACAUAA
Pipistrellus kuhlii (Kuhl's pipistrelle) is the source of this 560-nucleotide long non-coding RNA. RefSeq lists it as uncharacterized. Lineage: Eukaryota; Metazoa; Chordata; Mammalia; Chiroptera; Vespertilionidae. The record is from RefSeq and is a predicted model, not a curated record. The transcript has 2 exons.